Octopus sinensis (East Asian common octopus) is the source of this 1604-nucleotide long non-coding RNA. RefSeq lists it as uncharacterized. Lineage: Eukaryota; Metazoa; Mollusca; Cephalopoda; Octopoda; Octopodidae. The transcript has 3 exons. The record is from RefSeq and is a predicted model, not a curated record.
UGGAGCACCGCCUUUAGUCGAUCAAAUCGACCCCGGAACUUAUUCUUUACAAGGGAAAUCUAUUAACACCCAACCAACGGAGAAAAUAUGCAGAAAAGGCAACUCUGUCAUUUUGGAGGGCUAUUGGUGGAAAUUCUGAUGAAAUAGAUGACUCAUCAGACACUGAUGUUGAAACAUGAAAUAUUACUACCUAUCAACAUAGAUUUAUAUAUGAAAUUGCAUUUUCAUGCAUUUUACUGUUGUAUAUAAACUAAAACGUAUCUAUAUAUAUAGAAAAGUAACAAACAUUUCCAUGUCUAAGAAGUAAAAUUUAAAGCUGUUUUUACCUAAUAUUUCAGAGAAAUGCUUACCAUUUAAAUCAAUUACUACUUUAACACAUCUUACCCAUAAAUAACAAAACUUUUUAUUCUUCUGUUAGUUAUCCUCAUAUUCUUGUGUCAUAGUAUGUUUCUUAUUCAUAGGGUAGUGCUUAUUUUUCAGGAAAUACACAGCCAUGAAUAUGUUCAAAUGCCACUGAAUUAUCUUUUCCUUCUAUUGCAUAUCUGCAAAAGUAAACAGAAUACCAUGUAUAUCUUGAAUAUAAAAUACAAUACAGGAAGGCUAACAUUUUCCUCCAAUCUUAAAAUUCAGUCCAAGAUUUUGUAAGGAUUUGAAUAUAUAGUAAUCUAUAUUACCUGUAGUAGAUUAGCUAUAUUUGAGUCAAUUGAUUAUUUCCUCUAGACUUCACAGAAAAAAAAGAAAAUAGAAAAAUAAGGAGAAAAAAAAAAACAAGAUAAAAGAAGCCAUUAUUCAUUAUAUCAAGAAAUAUUUUCUUUUAUAACUUUUAUUAUUUUUGCAACACCAAAAACUACCAAGAGUCUUAGAUAUCUCAGAAACUGGGGGGAAAAAUCAUUCUAGGUCAUGGGCCAGAAAGGUUGCCGGAUGGUUUAGCAAGAGCAAUUGCUCACAUAUAUUAAAUGUUAAAAGAUUAUCUGAUAUACUGUUGAUUCAUUGAACUGUGUUUUUAUUGACUUGAGCCAGAUGAUUGUUUUACUACUUUUACUUUUAACAGACUUUUUCUCUUUAUAGCUGUUUAUUUCAUUUAUCAAUAAACAGAUUAGCAUCCAUAAACUAAAGAUAGUCUGAAUGACUCUGUCAAAAUAAUAUAGUAAUUUUGACACUUGUGUAACAUUAUUAAUAUAAGAAGCAGAAUGAGUGGUAGCAUAAUGACUAGGAUUGGAGGAAGCUGUAAAGCUCAAGGAACUGUUAUUUUUUAGAUAAAUCUUACAAAAAACUAAGAAGUGAGGUACAGUGUAAGAAUGAAUUAUGAUUAUUGAAAUCAAAGCAUUGCAGUAAAAGACAAAUACACUUAAUAUGAAGGGUGUUGAAUAUUAACUUACAAGAAAAUUUUGGUGUAAAAUAUGGAGAUUAAAAAUAUUGGCCAGUGUGAGCAAAAAAAAUGAGAAAACAAGCAUAUGAAUAGAAAUGGUCAAUACUAGUUGAAAAGACACUGUAUAUUGGUGGUGGAAGGUACUUUCGACAGAAAUAAUCCAAAAUUUAUUAAAUUGUGUCAGACCUGCUGAGAUUACACAACUACACUCACCAACUGCAACUACUUGAACCAA